RNAcentral lists this long non-coding RNA (251 nucleotides) under Elaeis guineensis (African oil palm). Its description in RNAcentral is "long non-coding RNA (EGUI_LNC017082)". Lineage: Eukaryota; Viridiplantae; Streptophyta; Magnoliopsida; Arecales; Arecaceae. The record is from RNAcentral.
GUCUUUUUACCUUUUAUUUUUCUUUGGCCAUUUGAUUCAACAUGAACGGGAUUGAUUUAUCCACCAGUAAUUAGUUAUAUCUAGUUACAUGAAUGGCUAGUAUAGCAAAUACUUUCAAUUUUAGAAUAAAAAUUAGAAGCAAUGGCAAUCACAAUAAAUAUUUUAAAGUUCAAGGGUUUUUUGAAAAAUAUUUUUCUUCUCCUCCUCAUCGAUACUUAGGUGGAGAUGAUGAACAACAAUGGUAGCACAUU